GGUACUUCCACCCAUAUAGAAGGUGAACUAUGUGCUACAAUGAGAAGAACACAGGAGCCUAUCAAAAACACAAGCAAAGCAACGACCUUUGUGCCAUUGCAGGAAUCAACAUGAUUGCAGAGCAGUCUUGCUGCUGCAGGACUACACGAGGCUACAACAGGAGACUUUUAAUUUGGUUUAUCAGCAGGUCAUAUGAAUUUCAGCAAAGUGUUCCAGUCUACCUCAUCUUUUUUUUUUUUUUUUUUUUUUUCAUUUUUAGAAAAUAAAUCAGACUUCAUAACAUAGGCAAGAUGUUAUGAGAAACGCCCCUGAGUUCUGGUCUGAAAAUCACCAUGUCUCUGGAAAGGAGAAGGCUGGAGCACCCCUCCUACGAAGAGAGGCUGACGGAGCUGGGCUUGCUCAGCCUGGAGAAGAGAAGGCUCCAGAGAGACCUCACUGUGUUCAGCCAGUACUUAAAGGGAGAUUAUAAACAGGAGGGGAAUGAACUUUUAAAACAGGCCCCUCCAAAGCACAACAUUGAUGCCAAGACCACAAAUGGAAGCCACAAGGAGGAAAAUGAUAAGCAUCUUUGCAUUUCCUGGCACUCAGGCUGCCUCAGCAAGGAAUUCAUUCCCUGCCUGAACUGCUCAGCAAUAUGCACACCGUUUUACAUUCCUAGGUGUGUCUGAGUUCAGAGGCACUCUAAGGUCACCAUGAACUCUUGGAUCUCAGCUCUCUGCUGUCCAAGGUGCAGGACUGUCCUUAGGCAACACCAGGACACCAAAAACGGAGAGAAAUGGGACUGGAGGAGGAACGUAGCCCACAGAGUGCUUCAGUAUGAUGCCAUCCCCCAACUGAGCUGUUUCUGCAUCUGGCCAUCAAAGCUCUUGUCGUGUGGACGAAAUCUUGAGACACAUUCAAGACGAUUUACUAUUCUGCUCUACAAAUUGGAUAUUUACAGGCCUGGAUUGAACAUCUAUAUUCCUCUACCCAGAAGUAGCACAUAUUGACCCAAUUUCUGUGCUUAAUAGUAUGCUGUAAAUCCAGACCAACUUCACAUAUUUCAGCAGAUUUACUUCAAGGUGACUGAGAUUAGAACAUGACGUAGAGAAAUAUGUUGCUUCAGCCACAACUAUCUUUUCACUUGUUGGUUUAACACCCCUGUGCUGCUUAAUUAGGGGAAUGCUUCAGAUCUGAUCUUAAACAAACCAAUAAACCCAAAGCAAUAACCACCUUAUCUACUUCACUCCGACCUUCGCUGAAAGGCCUCCUCAGCCUUCACCUCAUAAUUUUAUGCUGACUGUGGGGAACAUCCUAGAGCCAGAAGGAGAUCAGAGAGGACAGUACCAUAUCUCCCAGUUACUACCUUUGUCCAGGCUUUUGCUCAUUGCACUCCUCGAGUUACUUGCUUUUUCUUGCCUUUUAUAUGAUUUUGAAAGGCAAACAGCAACACGUUUUGUUUCCAGACACUAACAUACUUUAAAGUUUGCACUCAACCCGUAGGAUUUGCAGGGCAACAGUCGUCAUCACUGUCGCCAUCGUCAAAGUGUCCUGGAAACCCAUUCCUGUAGAGACGGCAAGGCAGAAAGGGUUCAGCAUGGCAGUAGAUGGCGCUGAAGACCUUGGAGCACACCAAGGAGCCUUGGAUGACCCACACACCUUCCGAGGCCUCUCAAGGAGCCUUUUCCCCCUCUGUUCCUUUGCUUUCCGAAAGAGCAACCACCACACAGGGACGCGAGAAGACCUUCCCAAUGAAAUUUGGGCCACUGGGGCUCAGUGCAGAGCAGGCUAAUCUUAGAGAAACUCUUAGUAGAUGGGGGAUCACACACUGUGGAUGAGAGUUACUGGCUCUAACAGGGAGCGUGAAAAUGGCAGCAAACCAUGCACCAUGGAACAGCCCUCUUUCUGGGUAGGUGUAGUGCCUUCUCCAACACUUUGCUACUCCCUCAUUUGCAGAGUUCAGCAUGGUUGCAGAGAGCUGAUGGCCUUCUUUCUCUGAUUGCAAUAAUCUCCCCAGACGCAAUUACAUUUAUAGCUUCACAGGUGUGUCUGCAAUUACAGAAGUGCUGCAAGUCAGCUCCAAGCCACUGUCUGUCACUGUUACCACGAGACUGCUGGGAACAUGUGACUACCUGUACCGUGAGAUUUCAGGUCAUCUGAACCUUCAUUCUUUCUCUUAUCUGAUAGAACAUGUCGUAUCUUAUGUGUAGCUCAAUGAAUCUGAAAAAAUAUUACCUUGACCUCCCUGACUUCCUUGUCUGUUCUUCCUGGUUUCAGGGGAAAAGUAGAAGAAAAUAAUUCCUUGGUCUUUUAUGGAGCAAAGGAUGUACAUACGUUAUAUCCAGUAGAAUGCUAUACUUUAUGGUGCACUGGCUUUGGGAUUACAUUGGUUUCCUAGGUGGGAAAUGCAGAUUUGUGUCAUUCCAGUGAUGGGUAGUUCUGACACUCUCCAGAGUUGCCUGACCCCAGCUACCUAUCCAGUCAAUGGAGUUGAUGGUGUCAGUGGUAAAAGGAUGUUCAUAUCACCUCCAUCUAAAGUAGAGAUCACAUCUACUGCUUUCACAGCAAGCCAGGCAUCACCCACCUUUCUCUUACACUGCAAUGGGGGCACUGAAGCAUGUUGCAGGAUCUGCAGUGGGAAAUCUCAACUAAGGUUUGUGUCUUCUUAGUAAAUUGCUGUCAUAAAAACUAUACAAGCAUCGAUAAGGAUAAAACAUCUCCUUAAUUAUCUGUGGAUAUAAGAGGCAGAUAGACUUUUGCCAGAACAAAAUAUUCAGCCUUUGUUUAGUGCCUCUUUAGUUAUCAGUUCCAAUUCCCUUCCUAAGUCUCACAGGGCAAUGGAGAAUCACCCCAAGGGUCACUUCUGGUUAAAACCCUGGCUCCAAAAAAAUACUCUGGUUGCGUGAGAACUCUCCUCUGUUUUACAUCCUUGAGGACAUUAAAAAAACCAUUUCCCUUGGGGCCCAUUCCCUGACCUCUGGCAUUGUUAUUCAUCCUAUGACAGUUCUUCAUGAAUUAGUAGCUUAUUGGGUAGUAAUGGUGAUAGGAGGACAGUUGGACUAGAUGAUCUUGUAGGUCCUUUCCAACCUUGUGAUUUUAGACAGGCAAUUCAGUUACUCAGUGAACACUGUUUUCUAAUCACCACUGUCAACAUUUCAAACUAAUUUGCCCCACUAACAUUUUCCCCAGUUUCCAUCAAGCUGGGACAGACCCAAAGGUGGCUAUCAUGUGUCACGUGUGCUCACCAUCAAGGAAAGCUUUUCUCCCAGGUGCCACACCUCCACAUUUUCCCAGUGGCUUAAUUCAGUCUGUCUAUGGAUGAAGUGACCGUAGAGUCCAUCAGAAACUUUUCCUUUUGAGUCACACGAGGACGUGGUUUUUUUCUGGGUAGCUACAUCAGGAUGAUCAGGACAUCAAUCACGGUAUCAUUAAGGUUGGAAAAGACCACUAAGCUCAUCCAGUCCAUGGACCAUCAACCCAUCCCCAACAUGCCCAUUAACUACGUCCCUCAGUGCCACAUCUGCCCUUUUCUUGAAAGACCCCCAGGAAUGGUGACUCCCCCACCUCUCUGAGCAUCCUGUUGUAAAAUCAGCGCACACACCAGAUUCAUACUGACUCAGCCAAAU
Molecule: long non-coding RNA, 3605 nt
Organism: Gallus gallus (chicken)
Lineage: Eukaryota; Metazoa; Chordata; Aves; Galliformes; Phasianidae
Source: Ensembl